RNAcentral lists this ribosomal RNA (987 nucleotides) under Triticum aestivum (bread wheat). Its description in RNAcentral is "partial small subunit ribosomal RNA". Lineage: Eukaryota; Viridiplantae; Streptophyta; Magnoliopsida; Poales; Poaceae. The record is from RNAcentral.
AUGAAGUACAAUGCAUGGGGCGUUCGUGACAUUGAUGGCUAUAGCUGCUUCGUGUUCGAGAUAGAUCCUAGCUCCGUUGGGCCAGGCGUAUUCAACUGGAGGCGGGUUGACAGCCUCGGCAACCACUCCUUGUUCCUCGGGCUCAAUUAUCAGAUCAUCCAACCAAUCAUCGAUCAUAUCACCGGCGAUGAUUACCGUGCUAUGCAACUUCCAUUUGCGAGGGGGUACUGUGUUUACACAUCAUACCAUGGGUUUCAUGAAUCACCAUAUCAAGAGAUUCGUCGACACAGCUUGUUGCCAGAUAAUCUUUAUUUCCUGGUUAUCAAGGAGUUGUCCCAGGAAAUAAAGAAAGGAGAAUUCAAGGAAGGAAACGAAAUUGAGAAACAGAAAAUAAUCGAGGGAAAAAUCAUGCCACCUUUGAAAAAUUCCCUGGUUAUCAAGGAGUUGUCCCAGGAAAUAAAGAAAGGAGAAUUCAAGGAAGUACCAUAUAACUGGAAUUACCGAUGCAAGUCGAAGAAGGAUUGGCCGGUGCUGCCGGCUGGCGUCAAGUUUGAUCCCAUGGAUCAGGAGCUGAUCGAGCACCUUGAGGCCAAAGUGAGUGCUGACAGCGCGAGAUUUCAGUCUCUCAUCGAUUUGUUCAUACCAACCAUCAACAGCGAGCACGGCAUAUGCUACACCCAACCUGAGAAACUUCCAAGUAUCACACUGAGUGGCCUAAGGAAGCAUUUCUUCCAGAGCAAUUCCAGGGUGUUCAAAAGGGGAACGUGGACGCGUCGCAGGAUACAACGGGCAGCAAAAAAGGUUCUAGUGCUGCACACCAACAAGAACUUCGACCAGCAGAGGACCAACUGGGUGAUGCACCAGUACCACCUCGGGGACCUGGAGCAAGAGAAGGAGCGGGAGCUGGACCUCUGCAAGAUUUUCUACCAGACGAACACUAGGGCCAAGAGUAAAAAGAUUGUCAAGCAUGUUUCAACUGGGUUGUAG